CUGCCGGUGAUAAACCGGAGGAAGGUGGGGAUGACGUCAAGUCAUCAUGGCCCUUACGAGUAGGGCUACACACGUGCUACAAUGGCGUAUACAAAGGGAAGCGACCCCGCGAGGGCAAGCGGAACUCAUAAAGUACGUCGUAGUCCGGAUUGGAGUCUGCAACUCGACUCCAUGAAGUCGGAAUCGCUAGUAAUCGUAGAUCAGAAUGCUACGGUGAAUACGUUCCCGGGCCUUGUACACACCGCCCGUCACACCAUGGGAGUGGGUUGCAA
This 272-nucleotide ribosomal RNA is filed under the name Morganella morganii subsp. morganii. RNAcentral's name for it is "partial 16S ribosomal RNA". It matches the Rfam family "Bacterial small subunit ribosomal RNA", at positions 1149 to 1420 of the family's 1533-position model. The record is from RNAcentral. Lineage: Bacteria; Pseudomonadati; Pseudomonadota; Gammaproteobacteria; Enterobacterales; Morganellaceae.